CUGCAGUCGAACGCUGAAGCUCCCCUUUGCCCGGGUGCUAGCGUCGGACGGGUGAGUAAUGCUUAUGAAUCUGCCGAUUAUUGGGGGACAACAUUCCGGAAGGAACGCUAAUACCGCAUACGCCCUACGGGGGAAAGCAGGGGAUCUUCGGACCUUGCGCUACUGGUGAGCCUAAGUCUCAUUACCUAUUUGGUGGGGUAAGGGCCUACCAACGCGACGAUCUGUAACGGGUCUGAGAGGAUGAUCCGCCACACUGGGACUGAGACACGGCCCACACUCCUACGGGAGGCAGCAGUGGGGAAUAUUGAACAAUGGGCGAAAGCCUGAUCCAUCCAUGCCGCGUGUGUGAAGAAGGCCUUUUGGUUGUAAAUCACUUUACUCUAUGAGGAGGCUACAUGGAUUAAUACUCUGGGAUAGUGGACGUUACUCCCAAAAUAUGCACCGGCUAACUCUGUGCCAGCAGCCGCGGUAAUACAGAGGGUGCGAGCGUUAAUCGUAAUUUACUGGGCGUAAAGCUUGCGUAGGCGGCUUCUUAACUCGGAUGUGAAAUCCCUGACCUUAACUUAGGAAUUGCAUUCAAUACUGGGAAGCUAAAAUAUGAGAUAGGAUGGUAGAAUUCCAGGUGUCACAGUGAAAUGCGUACAGAUCUGGAGAAAUACCGAUGGCGAACGCAUCCAUCUGCUCUAGUACUGACGCUGAGGUACCAAAGCAUGGUGGAGCACACAGGUAUUACAUAGCCUGAUAGUCCGUGCCGUAAACGAUGUCUACUAUCCGUUGGGGGCCUUUGAGGCUUUAGUGCCUCAGCUAACGCGAUAAGUACACCCGCGCCGGGAGUACAGUCGCAAGACUAAUUACUCA
This 858-nucleotide ribosomal RNA is filed under the name Thalassospira sp. Its description in RNAcentral is "bacterial SSU rRNA". It matches the Rfam family "Bacterial small subunit ribosomal RNA", at positions 55 to 903 of the family's 1533-position model. The record is from RNAcentral. Lineage: Bacteria; Pseudomonadati; Pseudomonadota; Alphaproteobacteria; Rhodospirillales; Thalassospiraceae.